GAUGAACGCUGGCGGCGUGCCUAACACAUGCAAGUCGAGCGAACAGACGUGGAUCUUGCUCCUGUGACGGUAUCCGCGGAUGGGGAACGAACACGUGGAUAACCUACCUAUAAGACUGGAAUAACUUCUGGAAACCGGAGCUAAGGCCUGAUAAUAUAUUGAACUGCAUGGUUCAAUAGUGAAAGACGGUUGUUCUUUUACUUAUAGAUGGAUCGGCGCCGCAUUAGCUAGUUGGUGAGGUAACGGUUUACCAAGACAACGAUGCGUAGCCGACCUGAGAGGGUGGUCGGCAACGCUGGAACUGAGAUACGGUACAGACUCGUACGGGAGGCAGCAGUGGGGAAUCGACCGCAGCGCGAGAAAGGCUGGCGGAGCGCCGCGGCGUGAGUGAUGAAGUUAUUGGGAUCGUAAAACUAUCUUAUUAGGGAAGAACAAAUGUGUACGUAUCUAUGCAGGUGUGGACGGAACGUAAUCAGAAAGCCCCGGCAACCUACGG
This 496-nucleotide ribosomal RNA is filed under the name uncultured bacterium. RNAcentral's name for it is "partial 16S ribosomal RNA". It matches the Rfam family "Bacterial small subunit ribosomal RNA", at positions 28 to 506 of the family's 1533-position model. The record is from RNAcentral.